GCGGAAGUGGCUCAGUGGUAGAGCAUCACCUUGCCAAGGUGAGGGUCGCGGGUUCGAAUCCCGUCUUCCGCUC
Molecule: transfer RNA, 73 nt
Filed under: Thiemannella venezuelensis
Lineage: Bacteria; Bacillati; Actinomycetota; Actinomycetes; Streptosporangiales; Streptosporangiaceae
Also listed under: 64 other names
Description: Planomonospora venezuelensis tRNA-Gly
Rfam family: tRNA
About the family: Transfer RNA (tRNA) molecules are approximately 80 nucleotides in length. Their secondary structure includes four short double-helical elements and three loops (D, anti-codon, and T loops).
Source: RNAcentral